Molecule: long non-coding RNA, 509 nt
Organism: Callithrix jacchus (white-tufted-ear marmoset)
Lineage: Eukaryota; Metazoa; Chordata; Mammalia; Primates; Cebidae
Source: RefSeq, a predicted model, not a curated record
CAGUAGGUCACGUGGUGCUGCGUGCGCACGGAGGCGCAGGGCGGCCGGGUCACCGAGUGCGCAGGCGCGGCGGGCCUCGCCCUGCCCCGCGGCGGGAACGCGGCCGUGGGGGUGCGGAGCGCAGGCCGGUCAGGCCUACAACGGCGGGUCGUGGGACGCGGCCUUCGCAUCCCUGCGCAGACGGAGAUAGUCCGGGCCGCCGCCAGGGAGUGUGACAACUUUUCAUCUUUGGUGCACAAGAUGAAACGCGGAACCCCGCGUUCCAGGGAGGAAGCGCCUUUGACAGCUCGCGCCGGUGCGUGGGCCCUGCCUGCGUGGGCCCCGGGACGCUGGGCCUGGCGGAGAUGCCCGUCCGCUUCGACUGUAGGCCGUUCCUCCUCGGAGCUGAGCAAGGAUCCGUCCUUAUGGCAUUCUCGACCUGUGAUUCUUGGCGGGGGUGGGGGGGUGAUAUUGUAGUUAUGUGGAUAGAAAUACAGUUAGCAAAAUAAAAAUGCCAAUUUUACAUUAAA